RNAcentral lists this long non-coding RNA (236 nucleotides) under Gallus gallus (chicken). The record is from RNAcentral. Lineage: Eukaryota; Metazoa; Chordata; Aves; Galliformes; Phasianidae.
AUAACUCUUUAUGUUGUUUCAGUGCUUCCUCCCUCUCAGACUGGAGGUGCUGGAUCACAACUGUCAAUGCUUCAAACUUCUGGUUACUGCUUGACAAGAAUUUCUUGAGCUGCAGGAUGAUUCCACUUUGGUUCUCACAUUUUGUUUUGUACUGUGCCAACUCAGCUGUUUUUGUGCCAGUUGAAUGCACAUCUGUGGAGGUUUGGGUCUGUAUGCAUGAGCUUUUAGGACUCCGC